CUGUACUGUGAAUCUUUAUCUUUCCCCUUCUGCACACAAAUCAAAAACCAUCUUUGUUAUAUCGAUCUAACAAGAAGGAUGAAGUCUUAUCUAGGUUCUGUAUUAAUCAAUGAUGUUCUCUCCCCUCUUAAGUUAAGGAUCUAACCUUUCCUAAGGCAGGAAAGAAAUCCCUAUUCUAUUCGUGGGAUAUUAAGAUAAGAUUGCUUCUAUGUAUCAAAAAGAGGA
This 225-nucleotide long non-coding RNA is filed under the name Elaeis guineensis (African oil palm). RNAcentral's name for it is "long non-coding RNA (EGUI_LNC018594)". Lineage: Eukaryota; Viridiplantae; Streptophyta; Magnoliopsida; Arecales; Arecaceae. The record is from RNAcentral.